This 15604-nucleotide long non-coding RNA is filed under the name Triticum aestivum (bread wheat). RNAcentral's name for it is "long non-coding RNA (TAES_LNC026755)". Lineage: Eukaryota; Viridiplantae; Streptophyta; Magnoliopsida; Poales; Poaceae. The record is from RNAcentral.
GUGUGUGUAUGGGUUUCCCUGUGAGCGUGUCUUCUCAACGGGCUAGCGACUCGGCGCAGCUCUGAAGAGUGGAGAUUGGCGAUUUGGGGUGCUGGAUACGCCUCGGUUCCAAGCUGUGGCUAGAGGAUCCCCGCCGUCGUGUUGUUCCGGCUGUCGGUGCUACUUCCGCGGCUGCUCCUUGGGCGCUGCUUCGCUGUCCACGCGAAUUGUGCCGUUGCUGUUCUGGUCAUCCAUCUCGCCCUGCGUCUGCUCGGCCUGCUGCUUUGCCCUGCGUGCGAUCUGGUUUGUAUUGUUUCCUCUGGUAUUAGAUUUGUUGUCGUGGGCUGUGUUCGGUACGGUGUUUCUUGAGCAACGAUGUCGUUGGAUUAGGCGCUGAUUUUUAUGGACGCCGCUUAUGUGCUACNNNNNNNNNNNNNNNNNNNNNNNNNNNNNNNNNNNNNNNNNNNNNNNNNNNNNNNNNNNNNNNNNNNNNNNNNNNNNNNNNNNNNNNNNNNNNNNNNNNNNNNNNNNNNNNNNNNNNNNNNNNNNNNNNNNNNNNNNNNNNNNNNNNNNNNNNNNNNNNNNNNNNNNNNNNNNNNNNNNNNNNNNNNNNNNNNNNNNNNNNNNNNNNNNNNNNNNNNNNNNNNNNNNNNNNNNNNNNNNNNNNNNNNNNNNNNNNNNNNNNNNNNNNNNNNNNNNNNNNNNNNNNNNNNNNNNNNNNNNNNNNNNNNNNNNNNNNNNNNNNNNNNNNNNNNNNNNNNNNNNNNNNNNNNNNNNNNNNNNNNNNNNNNNNNNNNNNNNNNNNNNNNNNNNNNNNNNNNNNNNNNNNNNNNNNNNCUUUGACAGAAGUAGAUAGGAUCGAUGCACCCACCGCAUAGAGCUCAAUGAAGCUCGUCAAUCCAGCAAUACAUGGCAUCGGGUAGCGUCGCGACACGUCAACCAACCACGCAGCCACCAUUGUCUUACCUGCUCUAAGCAUGCACUUAACGUUGUUUCAGAUGGAAUGCAUUCAACAUACAUGGUGGAAGAGAGUUGCCCCCAGGCCCCCAGUACUGAACCACGACGUCCACAAUAAGGAGAUGGAGAUCAUCGUCCCAGGGGUAAUCAAUUUAAACUUUGCUAACAAUAUGCGUGCACUUGCCAGAGAGGUGCAUUCAAUACUUCCCUACUUGAGGGGAUCGCAUAUACUAAAUUAAAAUGCAGUGAUCACAUAACAGAUUAUAAAUUGUUUUCUUAAUUUACACACACUGUACACCUGCUUUCCCAAAUCGGCAUUACCAUAUCACCGUAUAUCCAACCUUUAGGCGCAACAGGCAACCUACAAUUGGAGUGAUGGUUCAGUAAGAAAGAACAUUUAGCACAAAGAAAGAUGAAUUUUGAAAAAAAAAACUUGCAGUGAACACAGAAAAAAUCGAUGCUCGACUGACUACUAAUACCAUCUCAAAAUAUGCAAGAUGCAAGAUGCUUGACUGACUACUAAUACCAUCCAAAAAUCAAUGCUCAACUGACUACUAAUACCAUCUAAAAAUAAGAGGUCAAACCAAUCAAGUGAAAGACUUUUGAACUGGAAUUAGACACAUUGUACAUCAUCAAUCAUUAGGAGCUGGACCCCAUAGAAUCUUUUCGGCUUCGGUUGUAUGAUUAGAAUUUGGCUUCAAACUAACUAAACUAAAGAGUUUUUUUCCUUGUCCACUCUUUUGUUGCUAAAUUAUGAUCCAUAAAGUUAUAGUGCAUCUUGGAAAGGUUAUAAUAGUUUUGGUUACAGGGUUGAUGAUAUAUCUAUGGAUAUUAUGUUGACUGAUAGCCCAUGGUUCAUCUGAGCUCACUUUGGCGCGAAUGCGGUGAUGAAGGUUCGACCUGCAGUUUCAGAUUUCCCUUGACUCAUUCAGUGCAGCUUCCUUCGUGACGUAUGCCACAUGCUAAUAUCAACUUUCUCAUUGUAUAUAAAUUUUCAGGAGAAAAAAGGAAAAAGUUGAUACGGUUUUCCUUGCAGCUCAAUUUUCACACCCUUCCCAGGUUAAUAUUCACUGCUUUCUUUGGACCAACUUUAUGCUGCCUUUUCUCUGCACACACCUCAUCAAAACUGAACCAAGAGGCAUCACAUAGGUUUAGAUGGCGCGUGUGAACAUGGUUUAAGAUAUGAUAUUUCUUGGAGAGAGCAAACUAACCCUUUCAAUUUCACGAUCUAUUAACUAAAAUAUUGAUCGACGGCACAUUCUGAUGCUUCAACUUUGUUUUUGCCUUAUUGUCACUUAAUUAGGUAAUAUAGUAAGAAAGAAUACUGAAUGAGACUCGAAGGAAUUUUGAUGUCAACUCGUGAUUAGCAGAACUUAAAAUGAUCUCUUUAGACAAGUAUCAGAUUAAAGAAACCAAUAUAGAACCUUAUUAAAUAGGGACUUAGCUGGAAGGUGAGAAAGAAAUUACAAUUGCUAUUGGUGCAACAAUACAAAAUUUAGCUUAGCUAUCUAUCAGAUUUCUUGACUCAAAUUCCAGCUAGCAAAGACGAAGAUUGAAUCCCCAAAAAUCCAUGCUAAACCAAAUAUAGACUUGUUGAUUUACCUCAAUUGAAUUAUUUAUAAAACAUUAUACAUGAACUUGUUUUAAAUACAUGACAAAAUCUAGCUGAGCUAAACCUUCCUGGAAUCUUAUGUGGAUUUUUAGAGUUUAGACCAAGGAGAAAUGGGGAAAUAAUUCGGGACAGAGGGUAGUGCACACGGGAGCCUCAGAAUAGCGGGUAGCCUAGCGAUGUUUAUAGGAAAAAGGUGGCUUUUGUCUCAUCAGUGAGUUUGUUGCCCAAUGCCCGUGCUACUGAUAUAAUGUCGUUCAUGACAUACCUCGCCCAGUUCAAAUUCGGGAUGUCAUCCAAAUUUUAUGAGAGCCACAAAAUAUGUUGGAAGAAUAACUACGGAUCAAAUGGACCUCGAACUUUAUCUCACCGUGAACACCACAUCAAUCACAUUCUAACAGGAGGCCUCAGCCAUCGCCAAGGCAUCUCAUGGAACAUGGGGGAAACUCCAAAUCGAACAGAGCAACACAAAAAUAGGAAUCAGGCAUGAGGAAAGGGGAAUAAGCUAACCUGGGUAAUGGGAUCAGCAGGCCCAGGAGGGUGCCACCAUGCCAGUGGCCUCCACAAGAAUAAUCUUGCACACGAUGUCGCCUCAAGCAAUGGAUCGCCAACACCAGAACCGAAGCACUUGUUGUUCAUGGUUUCAGUUAUGAGAUAUCCCGUGAACUGAGGUACAAAUCACAAAUAGGUCAGCUCAUGAGCUAAAGAAUAUAAUCUUAUCCAAGAAAAGAUAAAAUAGUUCGCAGCAACAAAGCUUUAUUAAGUUCUUUACUAAGAAAGCUAACUUAGAAAUUACAGCCCAAACAGAGAAUAAAUGGUUUAGAACAGGCAUAAAUCUGAUCCAUCUUCCAUCAUCAAUAAUAAAAACAGGAAAUCUUGAAAUCCUUGAUCCAAACAUCAUAAGUCACAAAAGUCGAAGCAAACAGUGAACUGAAAAUUACUCUGAAAAAAACUUUUCUUUUGUUGACUCUAAACGAAGCCCAUGCCCUGUUACUCCAUUCUUUUGUUGACUCUAAAUGAAGCGUGAUUUAUAUGUUCGAUUACAGCCAUGACUUGGCGAUAUUCUAAAGAAUAUAACUAUAAGACCAGAGAUAGAAAACUAACAGAGAAUGCUGAGAAUAGAGAACACCUGUAAUAUAGUAAUGGUACAAAAAUUUGGUCGUAAGGUUGUGUGUGGCCGACAAGGGUGGCUCAGGGAGCGCACCAUGCAGCAGCGUGCGAGCGCUGCGGAAGAUGGGGAUGGGAGGGAGGCGUUUGCGUGCGCAUUUGGUGAUCAAAUGGCUCAGGAGGGGACCGAUCUUGGGAUAGGAUCAGUCAACCAACAUGUAGUAGUGACCUGACCGGAAAGGUAGGAUUUGCAUGAGCAGGUCAACAGAGAAUUAUAAUGUCAGCAUAUAGCAAUAAAACCAAUGAGCACUAUCAAGUUACCAAAAAGAGGGCGUUUACCGACAGCUUACCGUUAAUUUGCAGUCGUACCACUCAGUUAAAAUUAAGAAUAACCACACCUCAUUCAAUUAUGAUUCAAACAACAUGAACAAUUAUCCGUGAAGUUCAUUUCUAAACUACGCGCUUAUUAAGAUAGGUGUUUACCGGUAAUAGGGUAAAAUGAUACAUAAGUUUUAACUUCAGGAUAGGUAUUUACUGUAUUUUUCAGAGAUGGACAUGCGGGUCACCCCAUUAACUCAACAAGUAGAUAUAUUAGCUAGCUAUUGGUGUUCUCAGAAACCAUAAAUAGUUUAAACCGAAUUAUGUGUGCUUGUGCAGAUAGUAUAGAUGUAUGAUGGAUUCCUAGUUGCCGUGAUCAAUGAUCAAGGAGAUGCUUCUACAUGCAUACGCAUAGAACUAAGCAUUCAUUCUUCUCCUUGAUUCUAUUCUCCUGUUAAGCUCUCAAAUUUCUACACAUUUAUGAUAGAAAAAUGUGAUACUACAACUGCAGUUUAUAUUGCUGUAUUUAUAUGCUUCCAUACACAUGCUAUGAAGCACGAAACAUGACAAGGAAAAUACAAAGGAUAGCCUAAAGCAAAACAAUGGGGUUAACUAAAAUUUACCUAUUCUAAACUUGUUUCUUUCUGAACAGAGCAUCAACUCAAACCACAUAUAGCAGUGAAGCAACAAUGAUAUUUUCUCUAAAAAUCCAACACAGUGCCACAGACAGCACACAACACACUUAAGUACAAAAAAUCAUCAUUUUCCUUUGAAAGGGAGGGCGUUGGUUGGGUAAUGUGUACCAAAAAAUCAUGCCAAAUUUGAACGAAAGCCUGGGCAACCACUGAGACAUAAAGGAGUCAGAGGGGAGGUAAGGAGGAUUGGGAGUAGGUCAUCUAUGCAAGGAAGAUCACGGGGACCAAAAUCCUACAUGAGACUGAAAUGGAAAGGUUGCCCAAGGCAGACAAGAAUCAUCGGAAUCAUUUUCGAAUCUAAAAAUGGAAUAUAGACAGCAGUGACGAUAGUAGUAGAUGCAGAAUUAUGCUUAAGAGCACAACUGAAAUCUAUAUAACCGUCGUAUUCAUGUGCAGACAUAUCUUCAUCACAUCAUCGUUUUCCAAGUAUAGUUAAUAAGAAAUCCGAUUCACAUAUGUCCUGGUCAUCCCAUUUAUGCUGAAUAUAUUCAAGGCACUUCUGUAACAAUUUUUUUUAAAUACCCACUGUUAUCUAAUAUCUAGUAAACUGGGUACAAAAGACGGAGGCAAGAAGCCCAUGUUCUCUCAGAUCGAGUAUAUCCCUGUCCUGAAUGGUGUAUCCAAGGUUCCCCAUGUCAUGUUUAAGUACGAAUCACUUGUUUAUUGUGACAUGGACCACUGAUAUCUGAAAUAUAUGAAAAGACCCAUCAGGGCCCAGGAAAAAUAUGCCCUCCUAAAAGUAAAAGAAUGUCCCUGCUAUUUAAAAGAAGAUUGGCACUAAUAAGAGGCUAAGGAGAAGCAAAAUAAGCAAAGUAAAUGUCUGAAAAAUAAGAGGAGAGCAUCUUCGACAUUACCUAGAUACAUUCAGAAAAUCAAAAGCACCUGAACUAACAACUAAAACAGUGCCCUGAAAUAGAAUCCCAGACAUGAAGCUAUAAGCAUAAAUAACAACCAACGCAAAAUCAAAAGAAAUAAAAAUAUGUGCAUCACAAAAUACUAUUAGGAGAUCAGGUCUACUGUACAAAUAUGAGGCAGCUGCCAUACAAUCUCUAGAUGCGAAACAGCUGCAUUCAUAACUAUAUAUGCAUUAGCAAGAUAAAUCACUCUACCGAUUUGUAAGCAGCAAACCAGCUCAAAUGUAGUCAUCAUCAGUAACUCUUGCUUCGAUAAUAACAGCCAACCACCAUGUAUAUCCAUCCAUGAUACAUAAAGGGGGAGAAGUAAAUUACGUUGAAUGAGAAUUAAUUAAUUGCCACGCGGCUGCAGCUGCCAAACAUGCCACGGUUAAAUACAUGGAUUUUGUCAGGGAUCUGGGUACAUGAAAAUAGACAAAGUAACAAAUCAAUUAGAAGGAGCCAAAACAAGCAGAGGUGGUCAGUGAGAAUACCCGCAGGCGCCCCAACAGGCUAUAGACACCAUGUCACCGUGACAUGAGCCGAGACAUGGUGCCUAACAUGAGCCGAGACAGGCCGGCGAAACUGUAACAUGACGUGCAACAUGUAAGAAAGUAAGCAUCCAGGGAAGAUAGGCUGGCAGGCCAAGCAACUAAAUUAGAACACAUACACCCAUUUCUUGCACAGAGCAGUGCUUGUAAUCCCUUUAUUUAUUUUCAUUAACAAAGUGAGAAUGCAGGGUUAUUUUUUCAUUAAAAAAUGUGAGAAUGCAGGGCGGAGAAGGAUGAGGAAGCAACGAUAGAAAGCUCUAUUACCUCACACGGCCAUUCGAACUAAUCACCAGGAGACAAAAGAACAUAUUAGGCUCUAGGAAUUAACACAACCUCUAUUGCUUUGUUCAUACACACUCAAUUCUGAAAAAGGAAAACAUAAGCUUCAGGAGCAAACAAAUAGAAUAUGAAAACUGUAUAUAUAUACAGAGAAAACAAAAAUAGGAACGCAAACUGUCAUAUUACUCCCAGGUGUGAAGAGCCAAAGCUAUUUUCAAGCAGUAUUAUAAGCUAGCUCUAGAUUUUACUCCAUAGUAAACAGAAUAGUUUUGUAAGGUAGCUCUAGAUUUUAUACGAUUCAAAAAAGCAGCAGAUGGACACAUGAUUGUACAACUGAUGCAUAGUCACCCUCUUCUUGGAAUAGCCCACGGCUUAUACAUAUAGAUGAAAAUUUCAUCCAAACAUGCCAGUGUUUUUAGGCCAUUAAAUGGAAAGUGAUGCAUUUUUUGUUUGUCAAGUCCCUAUUGACCCACAGGGCAAACAGUGGUGUUUUACCAGGCCAACUAUUUUCAAAAUUUCACUAAACAGAACCCAACACCCAAAAGUAAUAGAGGGACGUUCUCCUCAUUAGCAUACAGACUGCACAGAGGUGAGCUAUAUGGACUCUACAACCAGCAGCAAGUGCAAGAUGUGUAGUGUGUAUGCCUAGUUGCCUACCAAGUUCUACUUCAUUCUACUGGUCAGAACUCUCUAAGGCGUCCGCCUUGCCUUAUGCCUUACCGCUUAGGCGGUGAGGCGCCCCCCCCAGCGCCUUGCCUCGCCUUACUGCCUUAAAAACAUAGCUCAUCAGUUACCUACGCCAUCUCACAACGCCAAAAACAUCCAUUCAUGGCAGAGAAUAUAUCAUCCACCACCGCAACGGAAAAGGAAACAUAAACGAAUUAAAUGAACAUGUAAAGACAAUAAAAGAAAAUUGUGCUUAAAAAGAACCAGGUCCAUACGCCUUGAGAUGGUUCAACAAAGCAGUAGCAUGGCAAGGAUCAAGAUAGAACUUCAUGUCACGCUAUGGUCAUGCAUUACUGAAACGAAAAAAGGGACGUUGAAGAUAGCUGACCUCAAUGCAUAUUUUUUUGCUGAGGGGGGCAAGACUGCUACCAGAUUUUGUUUCAGAUUUCAGGUUUAACCAUCCACAAAAGUAAUUAGUAGUCUUAAGGUUCAGUUGCAAGCUCAAAGCUGUAAUCACCACAAGAUUGAGUGUAUGUAUAGCAGCUUAGUAAAGACAAACUGAGUAUAUGUAUAGCAGCUUAGUAAGGCAAAAUUACAAACAUACAUAGGUUGAUCAUGCAACGGAUAUGCCAAAAAAGAUUGGCUUGUACAUGAAUUAAUGGAUAUAUACAGGUUGAGUACUUCAGUUGCCUACAAACACAUAAAAUGGACAAUGAAUAUUUGCCUACUACAGCAAAACCUCAUCUCUAUUUGCCUGCAUAUUGUGUUGGUUGCCUACAAACCAAAAAUCGAACCGCAGGGAUUCUGUAUAGUUGACACAAACAAAAUGCCUAAACUGCUUUUCUCAAGAUCCCGUGACUGAAGGUCGUGGGUACCAAAUUGUAAUAUAUGAGCAUUAGUACCUCUUAGGUAGCACAGAAAUUCGUUGGAACUUCAACAAGAGCGGAACGGAGGCGAAUACACGGGCACAUAAAUUAGACAAAUAAAUGAAAGAUAAAAAUAGCUUUUCUGAAUAAUGUAGAGGCCCAGCCACUUGUUGUUGAUCUUGCAAGAUGUGUUGGGAUCCCACAAGAAUCAAAUGCCUCAGGAAUCUCCUCCCUGCAUGAUCCAGUGCCAACAAAAUUCUGAGAUGAUGAACACAAGAGGGAAACAAAAAGGCGGCGGCCGUACUGUGGAGUGCAGCGGCCGCAGAUGGAUCGAGGACCUGGUGGUUGGAUGGAUGACGAGGAUGCCAACGACGGAUGACCUCAAGGCCAACCAACGGCUCCGGCGUCAGCCAUGGCGGCCCGGACACCAAGGACAAGGGCGUCCUCCUCCCCAACCACCACUUUUCCUCAGGGGCCCUGCCCCUCCGCAAGCACCAUGAAGACAUGCCUGCUCUGAUCUCCCACGAAUCAAGAGAUGAGCUCAGGUUACAAUGCAAAGAUGAGUAAACGAUGAAGAAAAAGCUCACUUGUGCCAAAACUGACCUGCAGUUCGUAGACGCGGUAGAGACGCGAUGGUUUCCCCGUCAGCCAGCCGCCCACACGCGCCCCCUUCAUCUCUUCUCCCUAUCGAGCCCGCGGCGCGCGUCUUUCCCGUCGGUCCACUUGCUGGCCACGCGUGCGGCUCCCUCUGCCCCGAUGUGGGUGGUUGAAGCUCGCCAACGGGCGUCCCCGGACCUUCUUGGGCGGCGGCUUCCUCCGGGUUGCGUGGUCGUCGGACAGAGAGGAGGGAGGCGGAAUGGCGGCGGCGGCGGCUCCAAGUGCCAGUCCACCCCUGGUGGGGAUCUGCUUGGCACCCCAGGGACACGAUUGACCUCCUCCUCUUUCCCUGCAGUAUUCUUCUCAGGCCGCUGCACCUCCCUCUCCUCUGUCCUCUCUUUGUCCCUCCUCCCCUUCCUUCACUCUUCCUCAUCUUCUAUCUCCCGGCCGCCGUCGCCGUCAAGACCACCGCUCUUGCCGCGUCUUCAGCUUGCUGCACGAUUUGCGACGAGGUGCGCGCCGGCUCGCGCGGUUGCUGCUCCUCUGCUCCUGCUGAGUCUGGAUCGAGGCCGCUCUCCUCGGCUCGAGCUCCUCCCCGGGCUCCCUUUCUCCUUCCCUUCACCGACGGGAUCCCUUUCUCCUUUCCCUGUCCUUCCAUGGUGUCGUUGAUGGCGAGUGGACGGGGAAGAGAAGGAAGGCGAGGUGGAAGGGAGGCUGCGGCGGCGACCACGGGCUACCAGGCAGGGAGGGGCGGCGGAAGAGGGGAGAGGAGAAUGGGUGGGGCGUGGGGCUCGAGGCAGGAAGGGGAUUGGGGGCUAGGUUUUCACCUCGCUCUCGGGUUCUCCCACCGUCGUGGCACAACUCACAUACACGCGCGCCGUGACUGAAAUGUUGGGCCCGUGUGCAACGAUGGCCCAGUCGUCAUGCACUGAAACUUGAAGCCACAAUGUAAAGUAAAACCUACGGCCAGAUCUUUGAGAAAGAGGUAAAAAGGAGCAGAAUUUUGACAGCGAGGUGAAUCGUGUGAACCGGAUCCAUCGCGCGAUGCAAGUGCGCUAGAACGGCGGGUAACGUAGGAGGCUUUAUAUGUUAGAUUAUCAUAGAUCUAAUCACGUGUCUUCUGUUCAUCUUAUGCACAUAUGAAUCGUCCGUUCCGGAUCGCGAAUGAAUUCAUGGAGAUGAGGACAUUGAGACACCGAUUGCUACCCCAUGCAAGAAUCGGGAGAAUUCUUCAACGGAGAUGGCAUAAAUACCGGGGACGACUUUGGCAGGUAUGGGCAUGGCAUCGAUUCCAGCCCCUGAUGGUCGAAACCUUCGGCCGGCGAUCACCGCGCAUCAGCGGAUUUGGACACAGCGCACUCCAGUGGGCUCGGUGAUGCACGGCGCCCUCCGGUGCAGCGCGACCAUUGACCCUGGCAAGGUCGUCGGCACCGGCACAUGUGGCUGGCCGCGUGUUUCUCACAUGCAUACUGCGAGGCGGCGGUGGCCAUCAACUGGCACGCGACGCCGCAGCCCUCCACCGGCGGGGAGGCGGUGCCCAGUGCGCUUGCAGCCCUCGGUUCUGACGCGGCCUCGACCCCGCGGCGUCCCGUUCGCCGUGAGGUGAAGUGCUCAGACGGCGCGGCCUCGGCCGGCGUCUGGAGACAACCAAACCAAGGAGGAGGCGGCUGUGGCCCACGGCUCCGAUGUGGAGACAGCGGCCAGCGACCAUAGCGCGUCGUUCCCAACCGUUCGCGGCGCAGCGCGCAGCACGCAGCUCUCCUCCGGCGCGGCUCGCAGCCCGAUGGCACAAGCGGCCAGCGGCCGAUGCGGUUCUCUCCGCUCGGCCAUGGCGCAGCGGGCUCAUUCUCGCGGGGCGCACCGGCUACGCUCCCCGGUCUCAACCUCGAGGCGCAAAGGCGAUACUGCCUCCGGCAGGCCAGUGCACGGCGCGAGCACAUCUCGGCCAACGACCGGCGUUUGGAGUGACUGCUCCAUCCUGCAUGGCCGCAGCGGCAGCGUGACCCCUCCGGCAUCGCCCGCAGCAUCUUCCCCGGCUUCCACCGGCUCACCACGGCCGGAGCAAUGACCCGGCGCCAACGUACUCUACGUACCGGCGGUGUAGUGGUGUACAAAGCCAAAACGAAUCUUUGAUUCGUAACCACACAGAGAAAGCCGAUGGUGCUUAUCUCUUCGUUGUUUUUCAGUUUUCCCAUCAAGAUAUUACUGUACAACGGCAUUGUUUUGCGAUUGAAAUUAAGUUUUCUCGCACAACAGUACUGAUUUGCGAUUGAAAAUUUUCUUUUCUCGCAAAACAAUUUCAUUGCGAUUGAGAUUAAUUUUCUCUCGCAAAAUAUUAAUUCACUUUGCUGAAUUAUCUUGCAACUUGAUACAACAUCAUCUCAUUUAAUUUGAGGUCUAUAUAAUUCAAGUUGUUCACCUGAACAUCAAGAUUGCACCAUCAUUACUAUUCAUUAUGAUAGUGGUGUAUUUCUGUUGAGUACGAUGUAUUUCGGAAUGUAUGUAUCUUCAUGUUCGCUACAUGUCGAGAUUAAUACGUCUAUUUGCAAUUGAGAUUUUUAAUUUCUUGCAAAUAAGAAUGCAAAAUUCAAAGUGAUUUCUUCAAAUUGAUGUAUUGGGAUCACAGGGUAGUCAUAUAGAUCCAAUGUCUUCAUAGAUUAUCAAUGACUACUGUUGAAGUCUAUAUUUUGUCAUUUUGACAUUAUAAUUGCUUUACAAAGUGCUCUCCAACACAUUUUAUUAAGUCAUGACAUAAGACAUUAUGAGUGAGUAUCUACUAAUUUCAUCAGAUUAUACUCUCUAGUGUUGCGAGAUCUACUCCAUUUUGAAGAUUAUCUUCAAGGUGUCAUAUUUAGCAAUUUGAGGUUCACGCUAAUGGUUUCAAAAUAACUUCUCGAAAUACUCAUUGAUUUUGCUAAGUUCAUUACAACAUCAACCAUGAUGGUCCUUAAUUUACUGGUUGUAAAUUAAUUAUCUUUGGUUUACCCAUAGCGGUAAAAUAUGGCUAUAGAAUUUGAGGCAUUCGCUCUCAAUGGACACCACUGCCCUAUCUGGGCCAUGGACAUCAUGACCGCUCUUGUAUCCCGUGGGAUAAUGCCUCUGGUCAGGAUCACACCGCUAACAGAAAAAUGGUGUCUUAUAUAUCAUAAGGCAUUAGAUUCAGAUCUCGACAUCUGAUUAUUCUAUAUCAGCAAUUUCUGGGAUACAAUGAACCUCAAGGGCAAAAGUUUGAAUCUUACUUCAACCUUCAAUCCGACAUCACCAGCUGUGACGGGACCCUAUGAGCAUGGAGAAUGUGAUGGUUGAAUAUGCCUCAACCGACAUGUUUGGAGACUAUGAAUAGUCUUUCAAUCUCCUGAGUGGUCAAUAUAAUUAAUGUACAUUUAUGAUGUUGUAACAACAACAUAAGUAUUGUUGUCAUCGUCAUAUAUUGUAUAUCACAAUAUAUUGUAUCAGCACUUUGGUACAAAUACAUUUGUAUGUCUAUAUAUCUGACAGUGAUUUUCAUAUUGAGAAUCUUCAUGUCUAUAUAUAAAUUUCUAUGGGAGUCAAUCCGAUGAAAAAUGAUAUGUGCCUUGUGGACAUAUGCACCACAAACUCUAUACUCAGGGAAGUUUAAUGUUUCCACUCUCAUUGAGAGAAAGGAGAUAUUUUAAAAUCGCUAGACGCGAUGAGGUAUUUGUUGGCUCAACUCGAGUCAUAUUUACUAUCCCUGUGGGUACUCGAGUAACGUCGGGAUGCUUUAUGCUUCUCAGGUUUCACUCGUACCCUACUAAACUAUGGAGGUAUCUGUCAAAAUAGUUUCCAUAGCGAAACUUAUGAUGACAACAAAGAGGAAUAACUUCUCUUUACCAUAUGCAAUGGAUAUGGCAAGCACAUUCUAUGCGUAUCAUCUGGAUUGUACUACACAUAUGACACAACCCGUAGCACAUGUUGUGUACAAGAUAGUUUUCCAGAGUGUCUUGUACAUGACAAACUUGGCAUACUCGCCUUGGUCAUCGAGACAUUGGGUUGAAACCAAAACUAUCAGCAAUUCCAUUGGUUUAUGAUUAUUAUGAUGCUAAAUUCUAACAAUAUUUGGAUUUUGUGUGCACUGCAUAUGACACAGGGAAGCUAAUUUUAAGGAUUGUGCACCUUAAAGUUUACGCUGAACCACUCAGACUCCUUGAAUGCAUCAAGUCGAGGUAAGUGGUUUUUCCCAACCAUUGACUAGACUAUUCAGGUAUCCAUGGUUUUUCCAAAGACACAUCUACAUGAUGGUCUCAAGUGUGCUUUAUUCACACGAAACCAUUGACUCAUUAUCCCGACAUCGAUUUCAAGCAAAUCGAAUGGAUAGCAUUUGCAGAAUUCUCCUUGAGUGCCUUUUUCUAUGGCCCUCGGAUUGAAGUUUAGCAAUUUGUCCUAAUGUCUAGACUCAAAAUGGUUUGGUAGAAUCCCAUCCAAAGAAUUGAGCUCAUUGCAUGAUCUUUACUUUGAAAUUGCAACUUACCAACUUUACGUUGGAGUCAUGAAGUUUUACACGCUCAUGACCAAACUGCAUAAUUUUAUUCCCCUCUAUCUUUGAUACGUGGAAAUCUACCAAGUAUUUCCUAUCUGCAGUAAUUCGGUUACACACCGAUAUCAUCACCCCGACAUACAUCAUUGGCCCCUCAACAUAUAGUUGGGAUCUAUGUGAGGAAUAACUGUAUUACCGUCAAUACCUCAAGCCCCUCACAUGGGGAGUUAUUCAAGGCUAGUAUGUUGAUUCAAUGAGGAAUAUUUCCAGGCAUUAGGGGGAGAAUUCAAGUACCAUAAAGAAUGCCAGGAAAUUAGUGGAAUGUUCAACACAUUUCUGCCUCAUAUCCACGUAAUCAAAGAGCUGAACCAUGUGUUCAGAAGAUUUGCAACAUAUUGCAAAUAACCUGCCAGAUUCAUUUACUGACUAUAAAGGUGUCACACAAUCCUACAACCCUGCAAAGUAUGCCUGAAAGAGUGGAGGUACCAACAAAAUCCACUCCACUCCCCGUUCAAAGCAACAGGGGGAGAUGUAUGGCAUAAGUACAUCAGGAUUCAGCUUCUCGCAAGCAAGGAUAUCAAGGCCUGUGAAUCAGUAAAUGCAAGUCAACUUCACGUUGGCAGACACCUAAUGGGUAGUAUACACCCAGUGGACGGGAAACCUCCACCAACCCAGGUCAUAGUGCACACAAUGACCGGGAUAUUGGAAUACCCGACUUAGCCGCAUUGGGAAAUCGCAAGCAGUCACCUUGGGUAACGAUAUUUCCAUCAACUCUAUAUUGAUAUAUAGAUUCUGGAGAAACAUAUAACCGGAAGUCUGCAAUUGUCGACAUACAUUUCUCAACUAGAUUGCAAAACCUUUCACAUGAUUCAGGUCCAAAGACCAUGGCCAUGGCAAAGUGUGAACAACACUCGGACUGAACUCAAGCAAAGGGUAUAAUCUAGGUAGAAAUGAUCUUGCUCAAUAAUGGAAAGAUAUUCAUAAGCAAUACCUACACCAGUUUUCUUCUGGAAAUAGAAUUGAGAACAACGAGGUGGUGAAACAAAGAGCAAGUAUUGUAGCAGAAGGGUUCACGCAGAUAGCCAACUAUUCUCCAGAGAUGGAAUCUCUUUCCGAUAACUUAUUUCAUUAGCAGUACAAAAUCAUCUAUCACUGCAGUUGAUAGAUGUAGUGAUUACAUAUCCAGGUGGAUCACUAGAUUCAGACAUAUAUGAUUGUUUCCCGAUGGAAUCUCAAUUCUGAAUCGAAAUACAAAAUGCAACAUACAUUGUGUAAAAUUAGUAAGUCACCAUACGACUUAUUGUUGUCAGUACAUAUGGUACAACUGACGUAGUGAGAUCCUUAUGCACAAGGGUUACUCCUACAACGAUGAUUAUCCAUGCUUGUGUGUCUGCAAUGAUGACACAUGUAAUCAUCUAAAUGAUGGAGUUUAAAAUGAAGGAUUUGGGUAAACCAAAAUACCGCUCGUUACUACAACUUGAGCACCUUCAUUCAUACAUUAUGGUUUACUAUGUUAUCUAUAUCCAAAAUAUAUUGGAGAAUUUCAUUGUGGACAAAUCUUAUCCAUCCAUAACUCUCAUGGUAGUUCAUUCUCUAGACGCAGAGAAAUAUCGAUUUAGACCAAGAGAUGAUGGAAAUGAGAUAUUGGGACUCAACGUUCCAUAAGCCAUUGGAUCCACCAAACACGAUUGGUUGGUACUCAAGAAUAUCUUUCGAUAUCUCCAAGGCAUCAAACAUUUUGUCCUGGUUUUUCAGUUUCAUAGAAAUGUGAACACCGAUAUCAUUGGAUACAUCGAUCAGAUCCCCACUAUGUCAGAUCGUAGACAAGCUUAGUGUUCCUACUAGGUGUGGUAGCCCUCUCAUGAAGAGUCUUCGAAACAGACAUCAUGGCUACAUCCACCAACCAUUAUCUCAAAGAUAAUUUUGCUUGUGUUGCCCGGAUGCAAACAUGUUACAUAAUAAGCAAUAUCACUAUAUUGCAUAUCUUGCAAGUCAAAUCAUGUGACUGAUUUGUUCACCAAGUCUCUACCAACUUCUACAUUCCGAAAAUAUGUUCAUGGAAUUGGUAUAUGACGGCUUCGGAAUUUGCAAGAAUCAGGGGGAGUAUCUUCCUGAAUUGUUCCUGUUAAAAGCAUCAUAUUAUACUCUUUUUCCCUUCAUGAGUUUACUUUAUAGGUUCUCAUGAAGGUUUUUAAUGAGAUAAUAUCAACACAAGACCAUAUGUCAUAUUUUCUGUUUUCCCCACCGGUUUUUUUAAGAAAGUAUAUAAGACAUAUUUAUUGUCCUUUAAUUCUAUGGGUUUUUCUCAUAUUGAGUUAAACAGACAAUAAUCAUUAUAUGUUGCAUCAUUUUCUCCUUAUUUUUCCUACUGGGUUUGAACGAGUUUUUGGCAACAUAUCAAACACCUCUAUCCUCAUUUUUCCCACAGGGUUUUGGAGGAAACUUUAUCAAGAUGAUGUCUGCUCACAAGAUCAAGCAUUGAUUAGGGGGAGUGUUAGAAUUAAUUAACCAUGUGUUAAUUAUGGGAUUAAUCCAUGCUUGUACUAACCGCAGGCAGUUGUAAACUGCCGCGUUGGUUCCUGCCAAACAUGC